Molecule: ribosomal RNA, 442 nt
Filed under: uncultured bacterium
Lineage: Bacteria
Description: partial 16S ribosomal RNA
Rfam family: Bacterial small subunit ribosomal RNA
Source: RNAcentral
CCUACGAGAGGCAGCAGUGGGGAAUAUUGGGCAAUGGGCGCAAGCCUGACCCAGCAACGCCGCGUGAAGGAAGAAGGCGUUCGGGUUGUAAACUUCUUUUAAGGGGGAAGAGCAGAAGACGGUACCCCUUGAAUAAGCCACGGCUAACUACGUGCCAGCAGCCGCGGUAAUACGUAGGUGGCAAGCGUUGUCCGGAUUUACUGGGUGUAAAGGGCGUGCAGCCGGGGAGACAAGUCAGAUGGGAAAUCCCAGGGCUCAACCGCGGAACUGCAUUUGAAACUGUUUCUCUUGAGUUACGGAGAGGUCAUCGGAAUUCCUUGUGUAGCGGUGAAAUGCGUAGAUAUAAGGAAGAACACCAGUGGCGAAGGCGGAUUACUGGACGGCAACUGACGGUGAGGCGCGAAAGCGUGGGGAGCAAACAGGAUUAGAUACCCUUGUAGUC